This 245-nucleotide ribosomal RNA is filed under the name uncultured bacterium. RNAcentral describes it as "partial small subunit ribosomal RNA". It matches the Rfam family "Bacterial small subunit ribosomal RNA", at positions 26 to 285 of the family's 1533-position model. The record is from RNAcentral.
AGAAUCAACGCUGGCGGCGUGCCUAACACAUGCAAGUCGCACGAGAAAGGGUAGCAAUACCUGAGUAAAGUGGCGCACGGGUGAGUAACACGUGAAUGAUCUACCUCCGAGUGGGGAAUAACUGAGAGAAAUCUUAGCUAAUACCGCAUAACACUUACGAGUCAAGGCAGCAAUGCGCUUGGAGAGGAGUUCGCGGCCGAUUAGUUAGUUGGCGGGGUAAUGGCCCACCAAGACGAUGAUCGGUA